AAAGCGCACGCAGGCGGUCUGUUAAGUCAGAUGUGAAAUCCCCGGGCUUAACCUGGGAACUGCAUUUGAAACUGGCAGGCUUGAGUCUUGUAGAGGGGGGUAGAAUUCCAGGUGUAGCGGUGAAAUGCGUAGAGAUCUGGAGGAAUACCGGUGGCGAAGGCGGCCCCCUGGACAAAGACUGACGCUCAGGUGCGAAAGCGUGGGGAGCAAACAGGAUUAGAUACCCCAGU
This 230-nucleotide ribosomal RNA is filed under the name uncultured bacterium. Its description in RNAcentral is "partial 16S ribosomal RNA". It matches the Rfam family "Bacterial small subunit ribosomal RNA", at positions 562 to 791 of the family's 1533-position model. The record is from RNAcentral.